Hippoglossus stenolepis (Pacific halibut) is the source of this 3123-nucleotide long non-coding RNA. RefSeq lists it as uncharacterized. The record is from RefSeq and is a predicted model, not a curated record. The transcript has 2 exons. NCBI's taxonomy places the organism in Eukaryota, Metazoa, Chordata, Actinopteri, Pleuronectiformes, Pleuronectidae.
AACCACAGCAGAAAGGCAGGCUCGCAGCACCAGUCCCACGAGGGGCCCUUUUUCUGGGUGAAGGCAAAUCUUCCAUGAAAGACAACAGCUGAAAGCUGAGCCAUGGAGCACAGAAUUAAAGGGGGACACUGCCCAACAGGCACACAGUAAUGGCAUAUCAUUUGCCGCACCCUGUUGAUCAUCUAUGAUGUUGAAAGACAAACUUAAAUCCAAACACUUCCUCUCAAAGCAGUUCUAUGCAAAUAAAAGCAGGUUAUGACGAAAGCAUCUGUGCAUUUCUGAAGAAGUGUCAUUAGUCUGUGGCAAGAUGGAGGACAGACUAGCCCUGAAAGCAACCCUGCUGGUUUAUGAUAUGCUCUGCUACAGGCAAUUAAUUUCUACUGGGUCCAGCAAAUGUCAAUGUAGGACAAAAACAGGCCUUAGCAGAGCGGUCCACGUCUUUUAAUCCUCUCACAUUUGACAGCAAUGAAGUGACUGAAUAAAUUCAAGGACGUCCAGCAUUUUUAUACGAUAUUUGAAAUUCAGAAAGCAUAAGGAUUACUGCCGCCAAGCUGCCCAGAUCUCAAAUGAGUAUACACGAUAAGCUACAGCGUGGAAGUGGAGACAUGGAGGUAAUUAUCUCGAGUCUACUCAGGCGCCAUCCACACCGCCCAGCGCUCACAGUGGAGCAGCAAGUCAAUGGCAGUAUGAACAAUGACUGCCAGGACUGAGGAGGAGAAGAAGAAGUGGUUAUGGUGCAUAAUGGGAACCCACCCCGCCGAAUGCGAGACAAUUGACGCACUAAAGCAAAGGGGACAUUAGCCAGUCAGCUCCUAAUUAACAGCCCGCUGCUGCGAGGCCAUUUGUCUUGUCAGGAAGCGCCAACAGGGUCUCUAGGCUGUCACCCAGGUGUUAAGGCACGAGCUGGAUCUUUUGUCCGAUCCAAACCAGUCCUCAAAUCCACGUUUAAUAGAACAUAUCCACAUGUGUAACAGCAGUGGUGGCUAAGACAAUAGCUGCAGAUGGUACAGAAAUGCCUCAAUAAUGACAACAGCAGCCAUGUAGCUGUAUGCAUCAGUGAUAGCCAACACCAUAGCUGCAGAUAUUAGCAGCCUUGUAGCUACAUCCAUCAACCCGAUGCCAGGGCUAGUAUUAGGCUAAGCUAGCUAGAACUAAUAUUUGAAUAUACGUUAAUAUCUUCGUAAACAAAUCAGCAUUAGCCUAAGUGAGCUAACUCGGUCAACAAUGCCACCGACGCGACGAGAUGCCAUGAUGCCACCGACGAAACCCGGACGAGGCUGCUGCUGUUCGUCCGUGCGACCAACUGAUUUAUCGUGAUUAGUCCCAAAUCAUCCGUGUCGGUAACUUUGCGACGACGUUAGCUUAGCUCCCGGCUAACGCUUAGCCUCCAACCCCCAUUCUGAUUAUCUCAACAAGCUAGCUAGCUCUCCAUUCCACUCCACCCAAACCCCCCUCCCCCCAUGACACCCACCCACAGGGGGGGGGAAAAGACGUCAAACGUGGGUCACAUCCAUACCUGGGGUGAGCCGGUGCUCGCCUCCCAUGGCCGUGGGGGACAUGGAGUGCGUGGGGCUGUCCACCGGCGGACGGAGGUUGCAUCUCUGCGGGGACGGAGUGCCAGAAGUCCCCGGUAGUGGAUUGCACCUUCUCCGCUUGGGAGACUGAGGACUGAGGAGGGCCUCAAACUCCAUCGACCGCUUUAGCGUCGCUCCGCAGGCCAUGUUUGCUGAGACGAGACGGGCUGAACACACAGAGCUGGAGGGGGGAAAAGACCCGCGGGAACCGGGGAGUAACGGCGGCGGUUGGUCGGUGUCGCGUCCCACGGAAGAGUUGAGUCUUUCUUCCUCUUCACAACAACGGAUCUUCUUCUCUGGCUGGAGCCCGAGCACCGUUUAAAACGUCACAAUGCCGGAGCCUACCAUCGGAGGCACGAGGGGGGUGCGCACAUAUCUACAGCUAAUUAUUCAUCUCGUUACCGGAUCAAUUCAAUCCUUUUUAUUAAACACGCUUGGUUUUUAAUGUGUCACGGGAUAAAUGCGGGAUCCAGUCGUGCUUUUGCGAUAAUUUCUGCCGUUUUCACGCUGCAUUCUUCCCGUCGCCCAACCCCCAUUGUGCUUUGUGGAUCUCCUUCCGUUGAACUCGAAUUGAAGGUUCACGAGACGUCUGGUGGUGGUGAUCAGGUACAUCAGGAGGAUUCCACGUGAAAAUCUGAUGUUACACUUCAAUCCAAUAUUAAUAAGAAGCAUGUUUUAUUUAUUAUUUAUACUCUCAGCCAGUCAACAGCUAAUAGUCCCCAGUACACAAUGGACAACUCUGUCAGACAUUUUUCUUAUGUACAAAUACUUUAAAACACUUUUCCAUUAUGUUACAAACUGUUAUUUCUAAUCAAUGUUGUAAUUGUAAUGUUGUUCCCCCCCGUUAAUAUUUUAUUUCGGUAGUUUUACAGAGGAGGUUGCACUAUGAGACAAAUUGUGAUUUGUGAAUAUGUGCUAUAGAAAUAAAAUUAGAUUGAUUGAAUAAAGUUCCUCAGUAGCAAGAUGUUUGUAUAGAGCUAAAAACUACUUCUACUAGUAAAUCAACAAACUCAAUAUUAAUCAUAUUCGUCUCUAUUAGUUCAAUUAGGUGAAAUCAUUUACUGUCUUAAAGUAACAAAAUGAUAUUUAAAAUAGUUUAAAUUCACUAUGAUAUAUUUGUUUUUGAGGUAUUUGCGUGUUAAGAUAUAACACUGUCAGGAUCAAUGUAAAGAUUCGAGUCGAUUUUACUUCAAAGGGUGAAUUUAUGCAACAGGUACUACAAGGAACUGAAAACUUGCCUCACAGUUAGUUACAGUUAGUUGUAUAUAAUUAAAUGUUUUAAUAUAAUAUAGUGAAUACAUUUAUAAUGUGUAUUAUAAAAUGGCUGUAGGUAGAUUAAGGUCUAGCUGCAACAUGCACCUUUUUUCCGACGGCAGACAUCUUAUAUUGCAUUGUAUUGUAUUUAACAAUGAUAAAUAUGUAAUUACCUUUUCUAUAGUUUCUUGUUUAUAAACUGAAAUAACAGAUAAGUAACAAAAGUGCAUCCACACAUUAGUGUUAUAAAAUAAUGAAUGGUAAGAAGACAUACUCAAUAAAGACUUAAGACUUU